This 238-nucleotide ribosomal RNA is filed under the name uncultured bacterium. Its description in RNAcentral is "partial 16S ribosomal RNA". It matches the Rfam family "Bacterial small subunit ribosomal RNA", at positions 539 to 776 of the family's 1533-position model. The record is from RNAcentral.
CGUUGUUCGGAUUUACUGGGCGUAAAGGGCGCGUAGGCGGCGCAACAAGUCACUUGUGAAAUCUCCGGGCUUAACCCGGAGCGGCCAAGUGAUACUGUCGUGCUAGAGUGCGGAAGGGGCUACUGGAAUUCUCGGUGUAGCGGUGAAAUGCGUAGAUAUCGAGAGGAACACCUGCGGCGAAGGCGGGUUGCUGGGCCGACACUGACGCUGAGGCGCGAAAGCCAGGGGAGCGAACGGG